This 294-nucleotide ribosomal RNA is filed under the name Citrobacter freundii. Its description in RNAcentral is "partial 23S ribosomal RNA". It matches the Rfam family "Bacterial large subunit ribosomal RNA", at positions 592 to 888 of the family's 2925-position model. Lineage: Bacteria; Pseudomonadati; Pseudomonadota; Gammaproteobacteria; Enterobacterales; Enterobacteriaceae. The record is from RNAcentral.
GGUGACUGCGUACCUUUUGUAUAAUGGGUCAGCGACUUAUAUUCUGUAGCAAGGUUAACCGUAUAGGGGAGCCGAAGGGAAACCGAGUCUUAACUGGGCGUUAAGUUGCAGGGUAUAGACCCGAAACCCGGUGAUCUAGCCAUGGGCAGGUUGAAGGUUGGGUAACACUAACUGGAGGACCGAACCGACUAAUGUUGAAAAAUUAGCGGAUGACUUGUGGCUGGGGGUGAAAGGCCAAUCAAACCGGGAGAUAGCUGGUUCUCCCCGAAAGCUAUUUAGGUAGCGCCUCGUGAA